This 606-nucleotide long non-coding RNA is filed under the name Malus domestica (apple). RNAcentral's name for it is "long non-coding RNA (MDOM_LNC012900)". The record is from RNAcentral. Lineage: Eukaryota; Viridiplantae; Streptophyta; Magnoliopsida; Rosales; Rosaceae.
GUUUGUGGAAGCCCUAAACGUGUAUAAUCACUAAAGGGAGAAUUGAAAGUAAGUUUCAAUUCACAAUCGAUAUGAAAGAGUUCUAAUCGCCCACUGCCUCGCUAAAAGGAACCUAAUCGAUCGCACACCGUAUAAGGUAAUGCUUGAAGGAUUUGACGAAAAUGAGUAAGGAAAAUUAAAUGGUUUAAUUGUUUAUGGCAAGAAUUAAUUAAUAUGUUAAUUAAUCAAAUGAAUAAGUUUGUUUUAAAACCUUGAGUUAGUUUUGGGCCUUAAAGCCCAAAUUGGGCUUCGAAUCGUCAAGCCCAUUAGCUUACGUUGUAUGACAACUUAACAAACAAAAUUCAAGAAGCCCAAAACAGCCAAAGGCUUUGGAAAACCGGCCAUAGAGAGAGGAAUGGCCUUUUGGUCCAAAAUGCAUACAAAAGUUGAAAGCAUAGAAGGGGUAUCUUUGCUCCAUCCUCGUUAGGGUUUUCUAAGGAUGAAAAGUAAGAAAAACUCUCUCUCUUUUCUCUCUAGAACAGUCGGCCACCAUGGGAGAGUUUACUAGCAUCUAACUCUUCCAUGGCCACUCAUCUUCUUCCUCAACCAUCCUUGGUGUGGGAACUU